This 2102-nucleotide ribosomal RNA is filed under the name human gut metagenome. Its description in RNAcentral is "bacterial LSU rRNA". It matches the Rfam family "Bacterial large subunit ribosomal RNA", at positions 446 to 2569 of the family's 2925-position model. The record is from RNAcentral.
GCCGGGACCACCCGGUAAGGCUAAAUACUCCCAAGAGACCGAUAGUGAACCAGUACCGUGAGGGAAAGGUGAAAAGAACCCCGAACAGGGGAGUGAAAUAGAACCUGAAACCAUACGCUUACAACCUGUCGGAGCAGCUUCGUGCUGUGACGGCGUGCCUAUUGAAUAAUGAGCCUACGAGUUACUAAUCACUGGCGAGGUUAAGUGCACGGAUGCACGGAGCCGAAGCGAAAGCGAGUCUUAAUAGGGCGUUUAGUCAGUGGUUGUAGACGCGAAACCUUGCGAUCUACCCUUGAGCAGGUUGAAGGUUGGGUAAAACCAACUGGAGGACCGAACGAAUAAGCGUUGAAAAGCUUCUCGAUGACUUGAGGGUAGGGGUGAAAGGCUAAUCAAGCUGGGAAAUAGCUCGUACUCCCCGAAAUGCCUUUAGGGGCAGCGUUGUAAUUGAGAGUCUACUGGAGGUAGAGCUACUGAUUGGAUGCGGGGGCUUCACCGCCUACCAAAUCCUGACAAACUCCGAAUGCCAGUAGUAUGAUUUACAGCAGUGAGCGACCGGGUGCUAAUGUCCGGUCACAAAAGAGGAACAACUCAGACCAGCAACUAAGGUCCCCAAGAGUAUGCUAAGUUGAUCUAACGAUGUUUUGUUGCAGAGACAGCUAGGAUGUUAGCUUGGAAGCAGCUAUUCAUUCAAAGAGUGCGUAACAGCUCACUAGUCGAGCGACAAAGCGUGGAUAAUAAACGGGCAUCAAGUAUACCACCGAAGUUCUGGGCACGAAAGUGCGGUAGGGGAGCAUUCCAUUCUGCGUCGAAGCCGAAUCGUGAGAUUUGGUGGAGCGUAUGGAAAAGCAAAUGUAGGCAUGAGUAACGAUAAUGCGGGAGAGUAACCCGCACACCGCAAGACCAAGGUUUCCUGAUCAACGCUAAUCGGAUCAGGGUUAGUCGGGUCCUAAGGGUAAGCCGAACGGUGAUCUCGAUGGAUAAUCGGUUAAUAUUCCGAUACUGACAUAUACCUCGAUGGAGAGACGAAGGAACGUAAGUGCCGCCGCCUGACGGAAUAGGUGGUUAAAGGGCGUAGGUAUAGGGACAGAUUAAGAGUUAGUCCUUGCUGAAACCCGACAGUACAGAGAGCCUACGGGCAAUUUGAUAGUGCACCCAAGUCGACUUCCGAGAAAAUCUUCUAAGUUAUAGUAUAUGUCACCCGUACCGUAAACCGACACAGGUGGUCGAGGAGAGUAUCCUAAGGUGCUCGAGUGAAUCACGGUUAAGGAACUAGGCAAAUUAACCCCGUAACUUCGGGAAAAGGGGUCCCACCGCGAGGUGGGCGCAGCGAAGAGGUCCAGGCGACUGUUUAUCAAAAACACAGGGCUCUGCAAAUUCGAAAGAAGACGUAUAGGGCCUGACACCUGCCCGGUGCUGGAAGGUUAAGAGGGGAUGUCAUCGCAAGAGAAGCAUUGAAUCGAAGCCCCAGUAAACGGCGGCCGUAACUAUAACGGUCCUAAGGUAGCGAAAUUCCUUGUCGGGUAAGUUCCGACCUGCACGAAUGGUGUAACGAUCUGGACACUGUCUCAACCGUGAGCUCGGUGAAAUUGUAGUCCCGGUGAUGAUGCCGGGUACCCGCAACGGGACGAAAAGACCCCGUGAACCUUUACUAUAGCUUAACGCUGAAUUUGGGUACACAAUGUGUAGGAUAGGCAGGAGACUAUGAAGCGGGUACGCCAGUAUUCGUGGAGUCAACGUUGAAAUACUGCCCUUUGUGUAUUUGAGUUCUAACCCUCAAGAGGGGACACCGUUUGGUGGGUAGUUUGACUGGGGUGGUCGCCUCCAAAAGAGUAACGGAGGCUUCCCAAGGUACCCUCAGCACGAAUGGUAACCGUGCGUAGAGUGCAAUAGCAUAAGGGUGCUUGACUGUGAGACCAACAAGUCGAUCAGGUGCGAAAGCAGGGUAUAGUGAUCCGGUGGUUCUGCGUGGACUGGCCAUCGCUCAAAGGAUAAAAGGUACUCCGGGGAUAACAGGCUGAUCGCCGCCAAGAGCUCAUAUCGACGCGGCGGUUUGGCACCUCGAUGUCGGCUCGUCACAUCCUGGGGCUGGAGAAGGUCCCAAG